This 735-nucleotide ribosomal RNA is filed under the name uncultured organism. RNAcentral describes it as "bacterial SSU rRNA". It matches the Rfam family "Bacterial small subunit ribosomal RNA", at positions 42 to 764 of the family's 1533-position model. The record is from RNAcentral.
GGAGGCCUAAUACAUGCAAGUCGACCGGUAACAGGUUAGAACUUCGGUUCAGCCGCUGACUAGUGGCGCACGGGUGAGUAACGCGUACAUAACCUGCCUUCAAGAGAGGGAUAGCCCUGGGAAACUGGGAUUAAUACCUCAUAGAAUUGCUAAGUCGCAUGGCUGUGCAAUUAAAGCUUCGGCGCUUGAAGAUGGAUGUGCGUACCAUUAGCUAGUUGGUAAGGUAACGGCUUACCAAGGCAACGAUGGUUAGGGGGCGUGAGAGCGUGACCCCCCACACGGGUACUGAGACACGGACCCGAGGUCCUACGGGAGGCAGCAGUAAGGAAUAUUGGACAAUGGAGGCAACUCUGAUCCAGCCAUCCCGCGUGCAGGACGAAUGCCCUACGGGUUGUAAACUGCUUUUAUUUGGGAAGAAACCUGAUCAUUUACUGAUCAGUUGACGGUACCUUAUGAAUAAGCACCGGCUAACUCCGUGCCAGCAGCCGCGGUAAUGCGGAGGGUGCAAGCGUUAUCCGGAAUCACUGGGUUUACAGGGAGCGUAGGCGGCAUAAUAAGUCAGAGGUGAAAGGCUGUAGCUCAACUAUGGAAUUGCCUUUGAUACUGUUAUGCUUGAAUCGAGUUGAGGUCAGCAGAAUGUGACAUGUAGCGGUGAGAUGCAUAGAUAUGUCAUAGAAUACCAAUUGUGAAGACAGCUGGCUGGACUUGUAUUGACGCUGAGGCUCGAAAGCGUGG